GAUGAACGCUGGCGGCGUGCCUAAUACAUGCAAGUCGAGCGAACAGAUAAGGAGCUUGCUCCUUUGACGUUAGCGGCGGACGGGUGAGUAACACGUGGAUAACCUACCUAUAAGACUGGGAUAACUUCGGGAAACCGGAGCUAAUACCGGAUAACAUAUUGAACCGCAUGGUUCAAUAGUGAAAGGCGGCUUUGCUGUCACUUAUAGAUGGAUCCGCGCCGUAUUAGCUAGUUGGUAAGGUAACGGCUUACCAAGGCAACGAUACGUAGCCGACCUGAGAGGGUGAUCGGCCACACUGGAACUGAGACACGGUCCAGACUCCUACGGGAGGCAGCAGUAGGGAAUCUUCCGCAAUGGGCGAACGCCUGACGGAGCAACGCCGCGUGAGUGAUGAAGGUCUUCGGAUCGUAAAACUCUGUUAUCAGGGAAGAACAAAUGUGUAAGUAACUGUGCACAUCUUGACGGUACCUGAUCAGAAAGCCACGGCUAACUACGUG
RNAcentral lists this ribosomal RNA (497 nucleotides) under uncultured bacterium. RNAcentral describes it as "partial 16S ribosomal RNA". It matches the Rfam family "Bacterial small subunit ribosomal RNA", at positions 28 to 507 of the family's 1533-position model. The record is from RNAcentral.